UACGUAGGGACCGAGCGUUGUCCGGAAUCAUUGGGCGUAAAGAGCGUGUAGGCGGCCUUUUAAGUCCUGCGUGAAAUCCUGCGGCUCAACCGCAGACGGUCGUGGGAAACUGGAAGGCUAGAGUGCGGGAGAGGAGAGUGGAAUUCCCGGUGUAGCGGUGAAAUGCGCAGAUAUCGGGAAGAACACCCGUGGCGAAGGCGGCUCUCUGGAACGCAACUGACGCUGAGACGCGAAAGUGUGGGGAGCAAACAGG
This 253-nucleotide ribosomal RNA is filed under the name uncultured bacterium. RNAcentral describes it as "partial 16S ribosomal RNA". It matches the Rfam family "Bacterial small subunit ribosomal RNA", at positions 524 to 776 of the family's 1533-position model. The record is from RNAcentral.